AGGGCCGUAGCUCAGUUGGUAGAGCGCCGCCUUUGCAAGGCAGAUGUCGUCGGUUCGAAUCUGUCCGGCUCCACCC
This 76-nucleotide transfer RNA is filed under the name Deltaproteobacteria bacterium. RNAcentral's name for it is "tRNA-Ala". It matches the Rfam family "tRNA". Rfam says of the family: Transfer RNA (tRNA) molecules are approximately 80 nucleotides in length. Lineage: Bacteria; Pseudomonadati; Myxococcota; Myxococcia. The record is from RNAcentral.